RNAcentral lists this ribosomal RNA (482 nucleotides) under Dorylaimida sp. 3 MK-2017. Its description in RNAcentral is "SSU rRNA". It matches the Rfam family "Eukaryotic small subunit ribosomal RNA", at positions 550 to 1035 of the family's 1831-position model. Lineage: Eukaryota; Metazoa; Nematoda; Enoplea; Dorylaimida. The record is from RNAcentral.
GGAGGGCAAGUCUGGUGCCAGCAGCCGCGGUAAUUCCAGCUCCAAUAGCGUAUAUUAAAGUUGUUGCGGUUAAAACGCUCGUAGUUGGAUCUGCGGUUGUGGAGGACGGUCCCCCGAAAGGGUGGUCACUGUCUCUCCUAGCCUAAAUUCGAGUCGUCUCUAGGUGCUCUUUACCGAGUGCCUAGAGUGACUAGAACGUUUACUUUGAAAAAAUUAGAGUGCUUAAAGCAGGCGAAAUAGCCUGAAUAAAAUGCAUGGAAUAAUGGAAUAGGACCUCGGUUCUAUUUUGUUGGUUUUCGGAGCCCGAGGUAAUGAUUAAGAGGAACGGACGGGGGCAUUCGUAUUCCGGCGCUAGAGGUGAAAUUCUUGGACCGCCGGAAGACGGACGACUGCGAAAGCAUUUGCCAAGAAUGUUUUCAUUAAUCAAGAACGAAAGUUAGAGGUUCGAAGGCGAUCAGAUACCGCCCUAGUUCUGACCGUAA